This is a long non-coding RNA of Oncorhynchus keta (chum salmon), 1099 nucleotides long. RefSeq lists it as uncharacterized. The record is from RefSeq and is a predicted model, not a curated record. NCBI's taxonomy places the organism in Eukaryota, Metazoa, Chordata, Actinopteri, Salmoniformes, Salmonidae. The transcript has 2 exons.
UCCAGUAGCAGCUGGAAAUCAAUCAGUCAAUCAAUUAAUCAUAUUUUAUUGCUAUAAGUCAAUAAGCCUAGCACUAUUGAUAUAGGCCAACCUUAUUAUGCUAUUUAUUCCAGGGCUUGACAUUAACUUUUUUAUCUCUUGUCCUUUGGACAAGUAGGACUAUUUUUGUUUACUUGUCAAAGUUUAAGUCACUUGUCCCUCCAAAAAUGUAAAUGGUAUUUAACACCAUUUCUACAUCAUUGUAUAAUGCAAGGAACCACUUUACAAAAUAAAAUGCAUUAGUAGGCUACACUCUGCCUAUUGGUUUCUGAUGCAUAUUCAAGGAGAAGUGGGUAGCUGUAUCCCAAUAUGGCGACAUAGUAUGGGCAAGUGGAUGUGUCGAAUGGAAAGUAGUGGGCGUGUCGAAUGGAAAGUAGUGGGUUUGUCGAAAGGAAAGUAGUGGGCGUGUCGAAAGGAAAGUAGUGGGUUUGUCGAAAGGAAAGUAGUGGGUGUGUCGAAAGGAAAGUAGUGGGUUUGUCGAAAGGAGGUUUGUCGAAAGGAAAGUAGUGGGCGUGUCGAAAGGAAAGUAGUGGGUUUGUCGAAAGGAAAGUAGUGGGUUUGUCGAAAGGAAAGUAGUGGGUUUGUCGAAAGGAAAGUAGUGGGUUUGUCGAAAGGAAAGUAGUGGGUUUGUCGAAAGGAAAGUAGUGGGUUUGUCGAAAGGAAAGUAGUGGGUUUGUCGAAAGGAAAGUAGUGGGUUUGUCGAAAGGAAAGUAGUGGGUUUGUCGAAAGGAAAGUAGUGGGCGUGUCGAAAGGAAAGUGGUGGGUUUCUCAAAAGGAAAGUAGUGGGUUUCUCAAAAGGAAAGUAGUGGGUUUGUCAAAAGAAAAGUAGUGGGUUUGUCGAAAGGAAAGUAGUGGGUUUGUCAAAAGCGCUCUGCUGUAGGUUAGACUGUUUGAUUGAGCAGUGCAAUCAAAGUAGUGCAACUACCGUACCGCAAGAGUUUGGACUUUGAGUGAAUGAAUUUGCGUCAUAUUUCACUGUUGGUUUUACACAAAUAAUAAUUGUAGAUUUUCACUUCUAAAACUGACGAUUGUUUAUUUUUUAUUAAAAGUAUUGAUGAUG